Molecule: ribosomal RNA, 77 nt
Filed under: Enterobacter cloacae
Lineage: Bacteria; Pseudomonadati; Pseudomonadota; Gammaproteobacteria; Enterobacterales; Enterobacteriaceae
Description: partial 16S ribosomal RNA
Rfam family: Bacterial small subunit ribosomal RNA (bases 1-67)
Source: RNAcentral
UUUCAUGACUGGGGUGAAGUCGUAACAAGGUAACCGUAGGGGAACCUGCGGUUGGAUCACCUCCUUACCUUAAAGAA